Molecule: long non-coding RNA, 831 nt
Filed under: Sus scrofa (pig)
Lineage: Eukaryota; Metazoa; Chordata; Mammalia; Artiodactyla; Suidae
Description: lncRNA (ENSSSCG00025023319.1)
Source: RNAcentral
UCUCAGGACCACGAAGGGAGCCAGCCUGGGGGGAAGCCAACAAAUAGAAUUUGGCAGUCAGAUCAACAUUCUUGGAUGGUUUCUCUUUUCUCUCAGCGCUGCUUGACAAGCUGGAGAACAGUCGAGGAGAGGAAUGAGUAUUUCUGACUUUUGGAAAUAGAUCGAUGCUCUAUAAGAUUUGGGCGCUGGGAUUUCUUAGAAGAAUCUGUUUGGUGCCAAUGAGGAAUUCAGAGCUGUGCUACGAUCAAUUUAGAGGACAAUGAAAGAAGCAUAAAUGAGAGAGUGAGCCAGUAGCCUGAAUGGGGGGAGGAAAACACGAUUUUACUUGCAUCUCAUUCAUUUUAAUUUCUCUAUUAAGUAAGGGGAAACGAAUGGGAAGAUGGCGGAGGGAGUCAUGUAAGGCAGCAUGGUUCCCAAGGGCUGGGAAGGCUCCUUCCACACAAGGACAUAGUCUCCUCUGGCUUUUGCAUGAUUAAUAUCCCACAGCCAGAGACACUGUUGCUUUAAGCCAUCAUGGCUUAAGACUGUGUUGUGCAUUAAAAUGUAACACCUCUGGGAGAAUGAACAUUUGACUGCUAGCUUUAUUUUACCCCUUUCUUUCUAAGUAUUCUUUAUUACAGAAAGCAAGUAAGAAGGAAAAGGAGGACAACUGAUGAUAAAGUGGAGAGAAAAGAAUGCUUUCACCAAAAUGGAUCUGUCUCAAAGGCCACAUAUGCCCAAUGGAUAGUUUUAUGAAUAUAUAGAGGAUCUGUUUCCAGGCUGGGCUGGACCCCACUGCAGGGGAUUCGAUUCAAGAAGGUGCACCAAGCAUGGCUGCAGCCAAGUAAAUAA